CAUGGAAAGGUAAAAAGAGAAUCAGUGGGAAGGAGUUCUUCCUGGGAGCUAAUCUCUCACAGUCUGUCCACUGGACCAUCAGUACAGUGGCUGCCCAUCUGAUGGCAUCGGAGUGAGAUCCACACUGUUCCGGAAGGUGAAACCAGGAUUUUACACGUGCUAGGUGAGUCCUCUACCCUGAGCUAAACCCCAGGCCUUCCGCCUGCUUUUAUUCCACACUCCCCUCUCCUACAGCAUCUUCUGACAUCACACUGUAUUCAACUAGAAGAGAGAACAUUAUAACUUUCAAUAAUAAAAUAGAAUUAUUAUUAUUAUUAUUAUUAUUAUUAUUAUUUACAGUAUUGGAGAGUGAACUCAGGGCCUUCACAUUGAGCUAAGCUACGCACACCCACAGGCCCUUUUUAAUUUAAAAAAAAUUUUCUUGGACAUGGAUUCUUAUUAAAUUGCCAAGUUAUCCCAGUUGUGCUCAAAUUUGCCAUCUUUCUGCCUCAGUCUCCCAGAGUGCUGAGUCACAGAUGGGCACCAUCACAUCCAGCUUUGCUCAUGCAUUUUUUAAAAAGAUGAAUGAUAGUAUCACGUAUUCCAAUUCCUUAGUUACACUUAAAACACUGACCUGAUUUUAUUACAAAAUCAGUAUUCAUCACAUGCCUGAAAUAUGUCAGUGGCAAUUGUUAAACAUGAUGAAAAAAAUCUAAACGCUUAUUUUAAAAGUGGGUGCGGGAGUUCGUAGGUUUUUAAAACUCCUUUGGGAGCUGUGUGAGCAAAAAUGUUUGAGGUCUACACAAUAAACAUGCUGAAGGGAGGAGCCUGGGGCACGGGGACACAGGCUGGGAGCCAGGGGUGGACUGGGGCUAGAGGGCAGAGGGCCAGGGCGAGAGAGCUGCGUCUGCUGCUCGUGGACCAGCACGCUGACCUGAACAGCACGAGACGUCCUGCGGAGGGGCGUCGGCCAGCAUGCGCUCGUCCCCAACUGUGUUCUCAAUAAGCAUCGAGGUAAGCGGCGUUACAACGUGAUGUUCUAGGGACAUCUGCAGGAUUGUUUUCGUAAUUUUCCUCUUGUCGGCAGCAGUAGGGGCCAAGCUUCUGUAGUGGAGAAGCAGAGGCGUUUUAUAGAACUGCGCUUGAGGGGGCGCUCAGGUCACAUCCCCACUCAUCUGCACUUCUGAUGUCCAGGCAGACAGUGGAAGUGGGUGCCCAGAGCCAACUGGUUCUUUAUCUAGCUGUGCAGUCCCAAGGGACUUUUUUUUUUUUUUAAAGAGUAAUUAUUUUUCUAGCAGUUUUAGGUUAACAGAAGUUGAGCAGAAGGUACUAAAGGUUUUCCAAUGUACUCUCCACACUCUCAGUAUCCUCCCUAACAGCUGAUAUCCUGCGCCAGGGUGGUACAUGUUUUACACAUGAUGGGCUAAGUCAGUGGUUUACUUUAGGGUUUACUCUAGGCAUCUUUCAUUCUACUGUUUGGACAAAUGCAUGGUAUGUAACUUCUGCAGCAAUUUGCCAUGCCUUUAAGUAUACUAGUAUGCUUCUGUCCAAAGGACCGGAAUAUUUUUUGCUUACUUCGAAUUACAGUCCAGUUAUACAGAGAUGUUUUAUUUUUCAACCUACUUUGAUAACCUUGUUCCAUCUUUCCAAAGUCUGAUCCAACAGAUGGCGUGAGCCUUGGAAAUGUUCAUUUUUAUCAAACACCCCAUGUAAUUGUGAUGUGGGUUACUCUAGUGAUCCAGUGUCUAUGCUGGGGAAUGGAGAAGCAGCUCAACUCAAAACCCCGAGGUGAUAAAAAGAGUAUUAGGGAUCCCUUCCAUAAAAGACAUCAUAAUUGCAUGAUCAUACAUUUCUCUUUGGACAAUAAUCUGUUUUCGAGAGUAAAUGCAAAUGAAUUACUGAUCCACACAGCAACAUGGGUUAAUCUCACAGACAUCAAAAUGAGUGAAGAAAGCCAGAAGCAGAUUGCAUGGUUAUGUGAAAUUUAGCAACAGACAAAACUAAUAAAUGAUGACAAAUGCCAGAAUAAUGAGUUCCAGUGCAGACUGGGGAAGAGGAACAGGGGUUCACACUGCAGCUACAUCUGGAUCCAGUAGAAGUAAAUAAUUGGAAUAUUAUAUUAAUUCUCUUCUUUUUCUCUCAUGCUCUUUUUUCUCUCUCUCUCUCUCUGUCUUUAUUCCUUUGUUCUUUUCCUCUUUUUCUUCAAUACUGGUGAUUGAACAUAGCGCCUUUGUGCUGAGCUACAUACCCAGCCCUCAGUUACUUUUUAUUAUGAGACAUGGUCUCAUCAGUUGCCCAGACUGGACUUGAAUUUGUUAUCCUUCUGCCUCAGCCUCCCAAAAUAGUGAGAUUGUAGGUGUAUGCCACUGUGCCUAGCUCAUUUGCUUCCUUUAUUGGUUUCAAACACUUUGUGUGCCAGGUAUGGCGGCUCACACCGAGUAGUCUCAGCAUUUAGGAAGCUGAAGCAGGAGAAUUGCUGCGAAUUCUAGGUCAGCCUAGCCUACAUGAAGGCUAACCUGAACCACAUAGCAAGACCUUGUCUCAAGAAACAAAAAAACAAUUGAACUCUUUCUGUGCAAGACCUCAAAUAUUCUAGGUGAACAUUUUACAUUUGUGUAUCUUUGUGGUACUCCUCUGUCCUUACCGCUCUGCCAGCAGUUGGUUGAUUGUUAGAUAGGCCCACAGUUUCCUGGUGAAGUUGGGAUCCGCGUGCUUGUCUUUUGAUAGAAAAUCCUCCAAGUCAUCCAUCUGGGCCAGGGUUUCCAAGACCAAAUCUGUGUUAGCCUAGACAUGAAAAGUUCAAUUGAAGGAUGCUGAUGGAGCAGAACUGUUCAAUCAAUUUGAAUUUUAGUAUCUAUUGUAAGUGAAUUAGGGUACCACAUACUUUUGGAGAAUAUAAAAAAAUGGAAGUUUUUAUUACUGCUUCAGUUUUAUUGCCUGAUAGUGGCCUGUUUUACUGAAUUUUUUAAAAAAGGAGAGUCUUCUUGGAAAUAGGGAAGGGGAGAAAAGGGAGGGUAAAGAAAGGGAGGAAAAGGUACUGAAAACAAUAAAAAUACUACAUGUAUUCACAUAUAUAUAUAUAUAUAUAUAUAUAUACAUACAGUCACACAUAUAUACAUAUAUAUGCCUACUUCCCAAAUAUAAUUAGUAUAUAUUACUAACAUACACCAAUUAAAUAAAAACAUAUUACACUGAAAAAUAAUGAAAGAAGGGGGACAAAAAUGUGCAUCCUCCAGAGGCUGGGCUUGGGCUGAGGACAAAAGAGGCUUUGCACAAUAGUUGGGAAGACAGCCCUUCUCUUUCACCCACUGCUCCUGUUCGACACACAGGAUUCUGGGAUUGUGGACCAUUAGUUUGUGAACUCUCAGGAUCCACCAUAUUUCAGGGGACCAUUUAGUGGUAUCUCGGUUCAUGAACGCUUUUGUUUGCAAAUAAUUUGGUCUGUAAAGAGCAGCAUUUGGCCACAUUUUGUUUUUGUUUGUGAACUCUGCAUUGGAUGAUGAACACAACUGUGGCCAUCUUUUGCAGAGUCAUGGAGCAAAUUAAGUUUGUGAAUCGAGGCACCACUGUACUUUUAGAAUAAAGCGAUAAACAGAAGUACCGAAGUUGCAGUAAUAAUGCUCUGUAUUUGCUGUAGUUUAUUCGGGUCAAAUUUUCCUGCCACCAUAAUCUCCGAGCCUCCAAAGUAGUUGGGGAAACUGUUUUGAGUGACAUCUGUUACUGAGGGGUGUGUAUAGCUGAACUGAACAUUCCGGAGCAGGGGAGUAGAUACUUGGUUGUAGAAUUUCUAUAAUUCAAAAAAAGAAAAAAAAAAAAAAAAGGGAAAAAAACCCACAGAGAGUUAUUUUAAUAUCAUUUUGUAUAUCUAAAGCAUUUUCCUAUCAUUUUUUUCACAUGCUUACCAGAUAUCUCUUAAAUUACUCUCAUGAAUUUCUGGGACAAAAAGAAUACGUACAGUUAGUUAAGCAAAAUUGAGACACAGAGGUGGUCAUGAUUUGUUAAAAUACUUUCCUUGAUUUAAGAGCCCAACAUUAUUUCCCACUUCUGUUAUUAUCAGCUUUGAAAAUAUCAUGGAUACUCAUCAUAAUAAAAAUCAGUUGAACUAAUGGCAUUGGCAUCAUUUUCUGGCUCAUUUAAUUAAUGAUUUUUUUUUUUUUUUGAUACCAGGGAUCGAACUUACAACCUCGCACUUGCCAGGCAGGCACAUACGCCACUGAGCUAAAUCCCCAUCCCUUGGCUCAUUUAAUUAAAAUAGACAAGUAUUUUGUAUCUGUAUUUUCUUCUCUAUUUAAGGAAAAUAUUUUAUUUAAGGGAAAACAGGUGCCCAUGAUAACAGGAAAAAUAUCUGCUCUAGGGGGCCUAGGGAGCCAGUGGGGGCUGGACGUAUCUCAGAGGGCCCUGCUGUGUGGGUCCAGGCUCUGCCCCUCCCUUUGCACUAGUAGUGUGGAAAUACAAGGGGCGGAGGGAAAUGUGUGGCAAUUGGAACUGAACACUUCUCCGGGUCUGACAGCUGGCUAUGGCUGAAAUGAUGGCAAUUUGAAUUAAAUUCAUCUUCUUUUGGGCAUCAGUCAUGGAUGCUUCUAGUAAGAUGGGAAAGGAGAAUUUGUUACCUUGAGCUGGGAGGAUGUAUCUUGGUUUCCAUAAAUCCUUUGAGCAAUUCCACGGUUAUCAUUAGAUAGUCUCUUCAGAAAAUCAUAGUCAACAUCAAAUCCUAUCCCCAAACUAAACAAGGAGACAUUGUCUGGUAUAUUCUGCUUCACAUUUUUCUGAAUUUUUGAUAAUUUUAAUUCACCUGAGGUUGAAGAAGACAGAAAGGAAAGAAAUGAAGAAUUAUUGAUGAGAAGGUUUAGAAAGUCCAGAGAGAAUCACUUAGCAAAAAUUAUUCAAAUUAGAAAUGUAUUUAAAGGGCUGGGGAUUUAGCUCAGAGGCAUAAGUGCCUGCCUGGCAAGCGUGAGGUCACAAGUUUGAUCCCUGGUAUCAGAAAAAAUAUGUACUUGUUCUUUGAUUCAGUAACACAACUUCUAGGAAUUUUUCUUACAAAACACUCAUGCAUGUGGAAGUGGAAUAUGAGGAAGGGUUUCUGGCAACAUUAUUUAAGCAUAGCAACAUAAUGGAAAUAAAGGUACACCAAUACAUGAGAUUAGUUAAAUUAAUUUAGACAAUGAAAUAUUAUGCAGUUACUAAGAAGGACCCAGUAGACUCAAUAACUCUACAUGUUUAUAUUGAAUAAAUGAAUUUUUUUUCUUUUUCGUUUUUCUUUUUCUUUUUGGUGCUGGGAAUCAAACUCAUGUCCUUGCAUUUGCCAAGCAGGAACUUAUGCCUGCUGAGCUAAACCCCUGGCUCAUUUUUCUUUUUAAAAAAAACGGGAUCUCAUUAUAUUGCUUGGGGAAAUCUCCAACAAAAAACGCUUUUUUCUUUUUUGAAAUGGUGUCUUGGUAUGUUGCCCAAGCUAGCCUUGAGCUUGAAUAGCUGGAAUUAUAGGUGAAAGACAUAUUUUUUCAAUGGGAAAAAAAUCAAGAUGAGUGGGUGUGUUCAGGAGGUAUCUGCAUAUAUAUAUACAUAUGAAUAAAUGCACAUGUAUAUACAUUUGUAUAUAUACAAUGUGUAUAUAGAGUAAUUCAGGUAAACACAAAUUACAGGAUGUUUGCAUUUUUAAAAAUAUUACUACAGUAAAAGAUACACUGCCAUUAAUCAAAUAUUUCCCCCACUUCAAACACACUUAUUUCACCAUUCUUGCCACUUUGUGAAGCUAUUCUAGGAGUCCUUUUCAUUAGUGUCUUUAUAAUGUUUGAUACAUGCUGCUGCGGAGCACUGUCUGAUGGGAAGACAGGCUCAAAAACCCCUACGCUGUGUCCAUAUUCACCUCAUUCACUGGGUCUGGCACCGUGUGACUUCUGACUCUUCCUCAAAGUCAAAAUGACCAUGAAAGGUAAUGUUUUGAAUUGAUUCAAGACACUGAGGCAGCAAUGACAGCACAACUCAAGACACUCAUGGAAGAAGACUUCCAGGACUACUCCAGAAAGUAGCAAGAAUGAUGGAAUGACUGUAUUUGGAGCAAGGGGGACUAUUUUGGGAGGGAUUAGCGGCAAUGUAUCUUUCGCUGUAAUAAAAGACACAUUUGUUUGGGAUCACACCUUGCAUGUCCACAUACUGAGGGAAACACAGAGUAAUAUAAGUGUACAUGAACUCUCCCUGGAAAUUGGCUCUGGGUGACUGGCAUAGACAGGGACUGAAUAGUUAAGGGACAGGAGGAAAGGGCAUUCCAUUUUUUCAAAUCAUAUUUCCUUUUCUUCCUCAUGACUUUAUUCAGAAGUGAAUUUUAAUUUAUUUGAUCUAAAAGGGAAAAGUGUUGGAUCUACUACAAAUACACAAAUAAAACCUGAUCAUAUUAGUCUUUCUAUUCAUAAAAGGGUUGCUCUGGGUCUUUCAGGAAACUCUUGUGAUCGUUAUUAUCACCUCACUAGUUCUCCUUCCACUUAGGCAGGUCAGGCACAGGUUAGACACAUCCACGUGACAAACCUGUGCAAUCCCAUCUAGUAUCCACUAUUACUUACAUUUGUCACUGUAGAGACACCAAUACAAUAAAUAUAAAUAAAUGUAGAUACUAAAAGUCAGGGGAUGCUAAAAGGUGGAAACUAUUUUUUGUGAAUAAGAAAAAUGAUUAACUUAAAGGAUAUAUCAGAAAGCAGUGAUUUCUCCAGUUUAAACAAGCAGAAAAGCAGACCCCGAGGAUAUGUUACUGUAGCCCCACGAGAUGCUAUGUGAGAGCUGGGGUGUGUAUUCAUCAUUUGCAGCUCACAUCUUUCCAUACCUAAAGUUGAGGGAAUAGAUACAUUUUGCGAAUACAUCAGCAAAUUCUAACACCAGACAAUUUUAAGUCAAACUCAGCUUUCUCCUCAUAUGGAGAGCAAAGUGAGGCACUCAAGAGCACAACUGAAGGGGACUAGCUUAGGGUGUAUUAUAGUUUAGAUCUGAAAUGUCCCCCAGAAGUCUCAUGUGGGCUUUUGGAAGGUGAUUGGAUCAUGAAGGUCUUGCUUCAUUAAUUCAUUGAUAGGAUCAUAAUUUUUUUCACAGUCUUCAGUAAUUUUCCAGUUUCAUUCGCUUUCCCAUUAAUGCACUUUUCUGGGCCCCUGUACAUAGAAUAAUAACCUAAUGGAACUGUUUAAAGGUGACAGAGAUGGGACCCAGUAGAAGAGAGUAGAUCAUAGGGACAUGGCCUUGAGACUGUAUCUGUUUCCUGGCUGCUUCCUCCUUUCUCUGUUUCAUAGCUGUUAUGCAGUGAGCAGUUCUUUUCCACCACACUCUUCCGAUGCCAUUUCUACCUUGGAGCCAGCCCAUGAUGGAUUGAAACCUCUGAAACUGCAAGUCAAAAUAAAACUUUCCUCUCUUAAAGCCACCGUGUCCAAUUGCCCGUUAGCCACACCACCCUGCCUUUGAGCCAGGCUUGAAUGUAUUGAGCCCCACAAAGAAGGGUGACAAACAGAAAGUAUGAAUCAGGGAUAGAAACCAAAAGAGACUUCGUGGCUGCACAUCCUGCACACCCAGGCUCACCUCCAAGUGCUUGGCCAGCCUUCCCGG
Molecule: long non-coding RNA, 7557 nt
Organism: Cavia porcellus (domestic guinea pig)
Lineage: Eukaryota; Metazoa; Chordata; Mammalia; Rodentia; Caviidae
Exons: 4
Source: RefSeq, a predicted model, not a curated record